Astatotilapia calliptera (eastern happy) is the source of this 750-nucleotide long non-coding RNA. NCBI's taxonomy places the organism in Eukaryota, Metazoa, Chordata, Actinopteri, Cichliformes, Cichlidae. The record is from Ensembl.
GGAAAAUCAUUGUGUAGUUUGUGCGACUGAAGAAUUGUCCCAACUACAUGUGCUGCUGACCCUUGACCUUUUCUUUAGGUGCACAGAGGAGUCUGUGGAAACAUCCAGAACUGAGGCAUCUUGUGUACAAACGUGUUCAGACCAGAUGUCAAAUGAUGUCAGAUGUCAUCCGUGAAUGGAUGCAACUGUGGAUCGUUCCAAUAAAAUGAGGCAGUUUUAUCCCUGCUGUUCCCCAGCUGCCCUGUAGGUGGCCUCAGUGUGUCUCACACCAUUUACAGAUGAUUACAGGUCGUUUACAGUUCAAACAGGUCCAACAUAAGAAAUAUGUAGAAAAUAUCCUGCUAUAACAGUUUGGGUCAAAGUGCAGAUGUUCCAGAUGUUCUGAGUCUGUCUGUGUUUCAUGUUAACAUGUAGAUGUUGGACCAAAGUGAAGCUUUAGUUUGGGCAGCUGCUGAAGGAGAGGAACAUUGCGUUCAGGUCUGGCAACAGGGAUUACUACACCACAGCCCGAUCCAACCUGAAGAGAGGCAUCAGAGAGGCAAAGGGGGACUAUAGGAGGAGGAUCGAGGACCAUUUGAAGAGUAAUACCAGCUGGCAGGUGUGGCAAGGCAUCCAGCACCUAACCAACUAUAAGAUCAAUCUCGGAGCUGCGGACGGUGACCUGGAGCUGGCAGAGGAGCUGAAUAUCUUCUUUGCCCGCUUUGAGACCAGGGUACCGGAGGUAUUGGAGCCACAGCAGCAACACGCCAC